GGCCAGACUCCUACGGGAGGCAGCAGUGGGGAAUAUUGCACAAUGGGGGGAACCCUGAUGCAGCGACGCCGCGUGAGUGAAGAAGUAUUUCGGUAUGUAAAGCUCUAUCAGCAGGGAAGAAAAUGACGGUACCUGACUAAGAAGCCCCGGCUAACUACGUGCCAGCAGCCACGGUAAUACGUAGGGGGCAAGCGUUAUCCGGAUUUACUGGGUGUAAAGGGAGCGUAGACGGCAGAGCAAGUCUGAAGUGAAAGCCCGCGGCCCAACUGCGGGACUGCUUUGGAAACUGCCCGGCUAGAGUGCUGGAGAGGUAAGCGGAAUUCCUGGUGUAGCGGUGAAAUGCGCAGAUAUCAGGAGGAACACCGGUGGCGAAGGCGGCCUGCUGGGCGGUAACUGCCGCUGAGGCUCGAAAGCGUGGGGAGCGAACAGGAUUAGAUACCCCAGUAU
Molecule: ribosomal RNA, 447 nt
Filed under: uncultured bacterium
Lineage: Bacteria
Description: bacterial SSU rRNA
Rfam family: Bacterial small subunit ribosomal RNA
Source: RNAcentral